This is a non-coding RNA of Gallibacterium anatis, 93 nucleotides long. The record is from Rfam. NCBI's taxonomy places the organism in Bacteria, Pseudomonadati, Pseudomonadota, Gammaproteobacteria, Pasteurellales, Pasteurellaceae.
GACCAUUAGUCGGGGUGCUGUUUAACAGCUGAGAAAAUACCCGUUGAACCUGAUCCAGUUAGCACUGACGUAGGAAACUAAUUAUGCAACAUU